Molecule: ribosomal RNA, 938 nt
Filed under: uncultured archaeon
Lineage: Archaea
Description: bacterial SSU rRNA
Rfam family: Archaeal small subunit ribosomal RNA
Source: RNAcentral
GGUUGAUCCCGCCGGACCCCACUGCUAUCGAGGUGGGACUAAGCCAUGCUAGUCGAACGACCCGGACUAUGGCGGGGAGUGGCAGACUGCUCAGUAACACGUAGCUAACCUACCCUCGGGACGGGGAUAACUCCGGGAAACUGGGGCUAAUACCCGAUAGGUGUGGAUUCCUGGAAUGGUGCCAUGCCUAAAUGUAAGCGCAUCCAUGUUUUGUGUGCACGCCCGAGGAUGGGGCUGCGGCCGAUCAGGCAGUUGGUGAGGUAACGGCUCACCAAACCUUUGACCGGUACGGGCCAUGAGAGUGGUAGCCCGGAGAUGGGCACUGAGACAAGGGCCCAGGCCCUACGGGGCGCAGCAGGCGCGAAACCUCCACAAUUCACGCAAGUGAGAUGGGGUUACCUCGAGUGCCGUCUGAAGAAGGCGGCUUUUCCAUGGUGUAACAAGCCGUGGGAAUAAGGGGGGGGCAAGACUGGUGUCAGCCGCCGCGGUAACACCAGCCCCCCGAGUGGUGGGGAUGAUUAUUUGGCCUAAAGCGUCCGUAGCCGGCUUUGUAAAUCUCUCGUUAAAUCCAGCGUCCUAAGCGUUGGGCUGCGAGAGACACUGCAGAGCUAGAGGGUGGGAGAGGUCAGCGGUAUUCCUGGGGUAGGGGCGAAAUCCAUUGAUCCCAGGAGGACCACCAGUGGCGAAGGCUGCUGUCCAGAACACGCCUGACGGUCAGGGACGAAAGCUGGGGUAGCGAAUCGGAUUAGAUACCCGAGUAGUCCCAGCCGUAAACGAUGCAGGCUAGGUGUUGGGUCGGCCACGCGCCGCCUCAGUGCCACAGGGAAGCCAUUAAGCCUGCCGCCUGGGGAGUACGGCCGCAAGGCUGAAACUUAAAGGAAUUGGCGGGGGAGCACCACCAGGCGUGAAGCCUGCGGUUUAAUUGGAGUCAACGCCGG